UACGUAGGGCGCAAGCGUUGUCCGGAAUUAUUGGGCGUAAAGAGCUCGUAGGCGGCCUGUUGCGUCCGCUGUGAAAUCCCGGGGCUCAACCCCGGGCGUGCAGUGGAUACGGGCUGGCUGGAGGCAGGCAGGGGAGAACGGAAUUCCUGGUGUAGCGGUGAAAUGCGCAGAUAUCAGGAGGAACACCGGUGGCGAAGGCGGUUAGCUGGGCAGUUGCUGACACUGAGGCGCGACAGCGUGGGGAGCAAACAGG
This 253-nucleotide ribosomal RNA is filed under the name uncultured bacterium. RNAcentral describes it as "partial 16S ribosomal RNA". It matches the Rfam family "Bacterial small subunit ribosomal RNA", at positions 524 to 776 of the family's 1533-position model. The record is from RNAcentral.